UCGCGAUGGAUGGGGGGGACGGCGGCGGCGGCCCGGGCCCCGGUGCGCUGGGGCUGGGGGGGAUCGAGUUCCUGCAGCACACGGCCGGCUCCCUGCUGUCCAGCUAUGGCUGGUACAUCCUCCUGGCCGCUGUCGCCGUCUAUGUCCUCUUCCAGAAGCUGUCCCAGCGCCUGGCGGUCCAGUGGAGCGGGCGGGCGGGAGCGGCUGACGCAGCGAUGGAUGCUGACGUGGUGGUGAGAAGGCAGGAAGCUCUGGCAGCAGCUCGCCUCAGGAUGCAGGAGGAGUUGAACGCACAAGCAGAAAGAUACAAAGAAAGACAGAGACAGCUUGAAGAGGAGAAGCGAAGGCAGAAGAUAGCGAUGUGGGAAAGCAUGCAAGAAGGAAAAAGCUAUAAAGGAAACCUGAAACUGAAUCAGCAGGAAGUAGAAUCUGGUGCCUCCACCUCAUCAGCAGUCCCGAGAUCUAAACCAACCAAAAGGCCCUUGCGAGAAGGUGGAGGAAACAAAAUGUGCCUUGCAGAUGAGGACUUUAAUCAGUGCAGAACCUAGCAGGAAGUUUCUGUGGUGCUUUUCACCAGGAAAACAGCAUUUCAGUUUGCUUGCUAUAACCCCCUGUCUGGAGAAGGAGGUGGAACUUGUUCCUGGAGACCAGGCCGGCGAGGCCCAUCAGCAGGUGGAUGAGGCUAACCUCCCUAGUGUCUCAUGUCACUAGCAGGCUUGAUCUUACCCACUGUCUAACUGCCUAUAGUUUGCUUGUCACAGUGACUCCUUUGGGGCUGGGUUUAGUGCAGGUGUUAACAUCAAAACAGAUUUACAUCAUUUCCAAAUAGUAAUGCAGAAACUGAUGUCACACAAGAAAAAUACCUGAUCCUCUUAGAGAGGAUGAAGAAAGAAACAGUUUUCCCUGUAGAGAGGAAGCAUUGUCUGCAGCCAGGGUGAGCUGCCUCUGUUGAAAGCUGGGUUCCGUGGCUGGAGAUCCAAAAAUCUGGCCUCAGGCAAAUGUAAUUAUCUACACUCUGUGAAAUGAGGAUAUUUACCACCCUCAGACAUGUUACCAGAUUUGCUCUGUUUGGCUAAAAGGUACUUUAGAGGGGAAGGAUGUUAUCAUUGGCAGAUACCUUGGAUUUUAGGUGGAGGGACUUUGAGGCAAAACAUGAACUGACAAACGCCACAGACUUGCACCAAAGACUAGUUAUUUACUGCAGAAGAGUCUCUGUGACGAGCUGCUUUCAAUGAUGUUUUCCUUAUAAAUGGUACACAAACCAGUGAGGAUUACUGAUGAUAGACAGCAGAUGGGGGGGGUUCUUGCUACCCUUUUUUUUUUUUAAUUAUUGUUUUAUUUCAACUGCUUUGUAAGAACAGAACUAUUAAUAUUAAAUAUAAUUGCAAACAAAUCAUAACU
Molecule: RNA transcript, 1401 nt
Organism: Neopsephotus bourkii (Bourke's parrot)
Lineage: Eukaryota; Metazoa; Chordata; Aves; Psittaciformes; Psittacidae
Gene: SELENOS
Gene name: selenoprotein S
Exons: 7
Source: RefSeq, a predicted model, not a curated record